UGGAGGUUGUUUUUACAAAUGUGAAGAUUAAAUCGUCGCAAAAAAAAGUCUGAGCCCAUCUGCUGACUUUACGGAAAAUGGUCGUUAUAAUCUCAGUGAGAUCGAUCGCACCAGAUCCCACCCUCUCUCUUACAUUUCAAGCGCAGAAUCUCUGCCCUUCACCUGGCUCGCUGUUCUUCCAAUGGAUCUUUCUCUCUCUUCGUUUGCUCUCUCUUCCAUUCCACCUCCAUUGAAAUCCUGCAAUCUCACUUCACUCUCCAAUUUCCCCAAUUACAGUUUCAAAUCCAGGAAUUUUUCCCUCACGCCGUUGAUUUCGCGCCAAAAUCGGCGGAUCAGAGCUCAAUAUUCAUGUAAUUCCGGCGGUGGCGGUGGAGGUGGAGGUGAUGAUGAUGGUUUUGUUGUGGAUGAAGUUCCGCACUUGACGAAUUUUCUGCCUGAUUUGCCGUCAUACCCAAACCCAUUGCAACAGAACCUAGCUUAUGCAAUAGUCAAGAAAAAUUUUGUUAGCCCAGAAGACGUGGUAGCACAAAAAAUUGUUGUUCAAAAGGGAAGUCCUAGAGGAGUUCAUUUUCGGCGAGCAGGGCCUCGAGAAAAGGUUUAUUUCAAGUCAGAGGAAGUACGUGCUUGUAUAGUGACAUGUGGAGGAUUGUGCCCUGGAAUCAACACAGUGAUUCGGGAGAUAGUAUGUGGCUUGAAUUAUAUGUAUGGUGUUCAUGAUAUACUUGGGAUUGAGGGAGGAUACAGAGGCUUUUACUCCAAAAAUACCAUUCAGUUGACACCUAAAGUUGUCAACGAUAUCCAUAAACGUGGUGGCACCUUUCUUCGUACUUCCCGAGGGGGUCAUGAUACCAACAAGAUAGUUGAUAAUAUUCAGGACCGGGGUAUAAAUCAGGUGUACAUUAUUGGAGGUGAUGGUACUCAAAAAGGAGCAGCAUUAAUUUACAAGGAAGUAGAGAAGCGUGGUCUUCAAGUGGCAGUUGCAGGAAUCCCUAAGACAAUUGACAAUGACAUUGCUGUGAUAGACAAGUCUUUUGGUUUUGAUACUGCUGUUGAGGAAGCUCAGAGAGCAAUCAAUGCUGCACAUGUGGAAGUUGAAAGUGUAGAAAAUGGAGUUGGAAUUGUAAAACUUAUGGGCCGAUAUAGCGGGUUCAUUGCCAUGUUUGCAACUUUGGCGAGCAGAGAUGUGGAUUGUUGCUUGAUUCCAGAGUCUCCAUUCUAUCUUGAAGGCCAGGGUGGGCUUUUUGAAUUUAUUGAACAGCGGCUCAAAGAAAAUGGGCACGUAGUUAUUGUGUUGGCAGAAGGAGCAGGGCAGGAAUACAUUGCUCAGAGCAUGCAUGCAGUUAGUGAGAAAGAUGCCUCAGGGAACAGGCUACUUCUAGAUGUUGGUCUUUGGCUAUCUCAAAAGAUCAAGGAUCAUUUCACAAAGGUACAGAAGAUGGCAAUAAAUAUGAAAUAUAUAGAUCCAACAUACAUGAUCCGAGCUAUUCCAAGUAAUGCAUCAGACAAUAUCUACUGCACCCUCCUUGCACAUAGUGCUGUACAUGGGGCCAUGGCAGGGUUCACUGGCUUCACGAUUGGACCUGUAAGCAGCCGACAUGCUUAUAUUCCAAUUGACCGCGUAACUGAGACUACAAAGACCAUCAAGUUGACGGAUCGUAUGUGGGCGAGACUUCUUUCAUCAACGAACCAACCUAGUUUCUUAAAAGGGAGCCCAGUGAUGCAACAAAGAGUUGAUAAAGAGACCAUUGAAAUGAUUGACAACAUGAAGAUUACCUCUAUAUAGAUUCCACAUUUGUAAGCAAUGGAAUUCCCAAAUUCAAUGGAUCAACACUUGAUCUUGUUUAUCUCCACGAUGAAAGCUUUUUGGGCUCGCAGCGGUGAAGAGGACAAAUACAUGUUUAUAUGAACUCACGCAGCAGUAGCUGUUCAUUGACCUGUUACCUGCAAUGCCUAAGGAAAUUUGAGGCCACUACAGUACCGAGUUGGUACAACAAGAAACUGCCACGCAUAAACUUUAGGUUCCAUUCUAUGUAGUCAAGUCCGGUCCUAUUACUUUAUACGCUGGUCUCAUUUUUUUUGCAUGUCUUAUUUGUUUACACAUGAUCCCUUUUAUCUGUACUUCAAUUCUAUUUAGAUUUUAUUAUAUACUUUUAUUAUAA
Molecule: RNA transcript, 2159 nt
Organism: Vitis riparia (riverbank grape)
Lineage: Eukaryota; Viridiplantae; Streptophyta; Magnoliopsida; Vitales; Vitaceae
Gene name: ATP-dependent 6-phosphofructokinase 4, chloroplastic
Exons: 15
Source: RefSeq, a predicted model, not a curated record